GACGAACGCUGGCGGCGUGCUUAACACAUGCAAGUCGAACGGAAAGUCCCUACUGUUGUUUGGUACUCGAGUAACUAACAGGUGAGUAACACGUGAUUAACCGUCGCUUAACUGUGGGAUAACGUGAGGAAACUGUUGCUAAUGCCAGAUAGUAGCGCCUGCUACAUGGUGUGGGUUGGAAAUUUUCGGCGGUUGGGGAUGGACUCGCGGCUUAUCAGCUUGUUGGUGGGGUAGUGGCUUACCAAGGCAUUGACGGGUAGCCGGCCUGAGAGGGUGACCGGCCCCAUUGGGCCUGGGAUACGGGCAAGACUGAUACGGGAGGAAGCAGUGGGGAAUAUUCCACACUGGGCGGCAGCAUGAUGGAGCAACGCCGCGUCGUGGAUGACGGCCUUAGGGUUGUAACCCGCUUUAGCGUGUGAAGAAGAGUGAGUGACGGUAAUGUGCAAAGAAGCAACGGCUAACUACGUG
Molecule: ribosomal RNA, 468 nt
Filed under: uncultured bacterium
Lineage: Bacteria
Description: partial 16S ribosomal RNA
Rfam family: Bacterial small subunit ribosomal RNA
Source: RNAcentral